This 315-nucleotide ribosomal RNA is filed under the name uncultured eukaryote. RNAcentral describes it as "partial 18S ribosomal RNA". It matches the Rfam family "Eukaryotic small subunit ribosomal RNA", at positions 1470 to 1796 of the family's 1831-position model. The record is from RNAcentral.
CCCUUAGAUGUCCUGGGCCGCACGCGUGCUACACUGACACUUACACCGAGUUUUUCCGGCCCCGAGAGGUGGCUGGUAAUCAGUAAUAGGUGUCGUGAUGGGGAUAGAUCUUUGGAAUUAUUGAUCUUGAACGAGGAAUGCCUAGUAAUCGUAGGUCACCAGCCUGCGAUGAUUACGUCCCUGCCCUUUGUACACACCGCCCGUCGCUCCUACCGAUUUCGAGUGGUCCGGUGAACCUUUCGGACAGAGAGAGUCUCGUACAAUCUCUGAAAGUCAAGUAAACCACAUCACUUAGAGGAAGGAGAAGUCGUAACA